RNAcentral lists this small RNA (138 nucleotides) under unclassified sequences. Its description in RNAcentral is "LOOT RNA". It matches the Rfam family "LOOT RNA". From Rfam's summary of the family: Latescibacteria, OD1/Parcubacteria, OP11, TM7. Lineage (Microgenomates, aka OP11) The record is from Rfam by way of RNAcentral.
AACCUAACCCGUAGAUUCUGAGGAUUUGCGGUAUGGUCACAUAAAGCCCACGCGAGUAGAAACGGCCAUAUAAGCCGGCAUUCACUCGCGUGGGUCUGUACCUCGAAAGGGAUACAGGAUAGUUCCGAAAGGGCUAUC